RNAcentral lists this ribosomal RNA (375 nucleotides) under uncultured bacterium. RNAcentral's name for it is "partial 16S ribosomal RNA". It matches the Rfam family "Bacterial small subunit ribosomal RNA", at positions 338 to 710 of the family's 1533-position model. The record is from RNAcentral.
CCUACGGGAGGCAGCAGUGAGGAAUAUUGGUCAAUGGACGAGAGUCUGAACCAGCCAAGCCGCGUGAAGGAUGAAUGCCCUCUGGGUUGUAACCUUCUUUUAUAUGGGAAUAAAAUGUUCCAUGUCUGUGAUUUUGUAUGUACCUUAUGACUUAGGAUCGGCUCACUCCGUGCCAGCAGCCGCGGUAAUAUGGAGGAUCCGUGCGUUAUCCGGAUUUAUUGGGUUUAAAGGGAGCGUAGGGGGAUUGUUAAGUCAGUUGUGAAAGUAUGGGGCUCAACCGUAGAAUUGCAUUUGAAACUGGCGGUCUUGAGUACAGUAGAGGUGGGCGGAAUUCGGGGUGUAGCGGUGAAAUGCGUAGAUAUCAGGAAGAACGCC